Molecule: ribosomal RNA, 484 nt
Filed under: uncultured bacterium
Lineage: Bacteria
Description: partial 16S ribosomal RNA
Rfam family: Bacterial small subunit ribosomal RNA
Source: RNAcentral
GAUUGAACGCUGGCGGCAGGCCUAACACAUGCAAGUCGAGCGGAUGAAGGGAGCUUGCUCCUGGAUUCAGCGGCGGACGGGUGAGUAAUGCCUAGGAAUCUGCCUGGUAGUGGGGGAUAACGUCCGGAAACGGGCGCUAAUACCGCAUACGUCCUGAGGGAGAAAGUGGGGGAUCUUCGGACCUCACGCUAUCAGAUGAGCCUAGGUCGGAUUAGCUAGUUGGUGGGGUAAAGGCCUACCAAGGCGACGAUCCGUAACUGGUCUGAGAGGAUGAUCAGUCACACUGGAACUGAGACACGGUCCAGACUCCUACGGGAGGCAGCAGUGGGGAAUAUUGGACAAUGGGCGAAGGCCUGAUCCAGCCAUGCCGCGUGUGUGAAGAAGGUCUUCGGAUUGUAAAGCACUUUAAGUUGGGAGGAAGGGCAGUAAGUUAAGACCUUGCUGUUUUGACGUUACCAACAGAAUAAGCACCGGCGAACUUCGU